GACGAACGCUGGCGGCGUGCUUAACACAUGCAAGUCGAACGGAAAGGCCCUGCUUUUGUGGGGUGCUCGAGUGGCGAACGGGUGAGUAACACGUGAGUAACCUGCCCUUGACUUUGGGAUAACUUCAGGAAACUGGGGCUAAUACCGGAUAGGAGCUCCUGCUGCAUGGUGGGGGUUGGAAAGUUUCGGCGGUUGGGGAUGGACUCGCGGCUUAUCAACUUGUUGGUGGGGUAGUGGCUUACCAAGGCUUUGACGGGUAGCCGGCCUGAGAGGGUGACCGGCCACAUUGGGACUGAGAGACGGCCCAGACUCCUACGGGAGGCAGCAGUGGGGAAUAUUGCACAAUGGGCGGAAGCCUGAUGCAGCAACGCCGCGUGCGGGAUGACGGCCUUCGGGUUGUAAACCGCUUUCGCCUGUGACGAAGCGUGAGUGACGGUAAUGGGUAAAGAAGCACCGGCUAACUACGU
This 467-nucleotide ribosomal RNA is filed under the name uncultured bacterium. RNAcentral describes it as "partial 16S ribosomal RNA". It matches the Rfam family "Bacterial small subunit ribosomal RNA", at positions 28 to 506 of the family's 1533-position model. The record is from RNAcentral.